Molecule: non-coding RNA, 962 nt
Organism: Macaca mulatta (Rhesus monkey)
Lineage: Eukaryota; Metazoa; Chordata; Mammalia; Primates; Cercopithecidae
Source: Rfam
AAACAGAUAGGUUUGGUCCUAGCCUUUUUACUAGCUCUUAGUAAGAUUACAUAUGCAAACAUCCCUGCCCCAGUGAAAAUGCCCUCUAGGUCACCCGGAUCAAAAGUAGCACGUAUGGAGCACGCAUGAAUACAGCUCAAAACAACUUUGCUCAACCGCACACCCACGGGAAACGGCAGUGAUAAAUCUUCAGUACUAAACGAAAAUUUAAGCUAUACUAAUAUUUAGGGUUGGUCAAUUCCGUGCCAGCCACCAUGGCCAUAUGAUUAACCUGAGCUCAGAGAACGCAGCAUAAAGAGUGUUUAACAUCUACCCUCACUAAAGCUAAACUCCAACUAAGUUGUAAAAAGCUCCAACUGAAAUAAAAUAAUACGAAAAUAGCUUUAAUACCCUGAAGACACAAUAGCUAAGACCGAAACUGGGGUUAGAUACCCCACUAUACUUAGCCCUAAACUCUAAUAGUUACAUUAACAAAACCAUUCACCAGAGUACUACGAGCAACAGCUUAAAACUCAAAGGAUUUGGUGGUGCUUUAUAUCCGUCUAGAGGAGCCUGUUCUACAAUCAAUAAACCCCGAUACGGCUCACCACCUCUUGUCCCCAGCCUAUAUACUGCCAUCUUCGGCAAACCCUAAAAAAGUUACAGAGUAAGCACAAGCACACACAUAAAAACAUUAGGUCAAGGUAUAGCCUAUGAGGUGGCAAGAAAUGGGCUACAUUUUCUACAUUCAGAAAAUCUCACAACAACCUUUAUGAAAUAUAAGGGCUCAAGGAGGAUUUAGUAGUAAACCAAGAGCAGAGUGCUUGAUUGAAUAUGGCCAUGAAGCAUGAACACACUGCCUGUCACCCUCCUCAAAUAUUACUCUAGAAAUCACUACUACUAAAAACUUUCUAUGCACAUAUAGAGAAGAUAAGUUGUAACGUGAUAAGUGUACUGGAAAGUGCUCUUGGGCAAACCAAAGU